AUGCCGCGGCUUAAGCGUCGCCGCCCCUGCAAGGCCCAGGAGCAAAAGAAAGUCGUGCUCACUCCGAAGAGAGAGAGAGAGAGAGAGAGAGAGAGAGAGAGAGAGAGAGAGAGAGAGAGAGAGAGAGAGAAGAGAAGAGAAGAAGAAGAAACUGAAAAGCACAACGGAAUGGCAGAGCUACUGCAGAGCGUCAUCAAUGGAUUUGUAUUGCCACUUAAGGAAGAGCAUGAAUUGUUCCUUAUCUGGGCCUUGAUUCCACUUCACAAGCCAAGCUUUCAUACACAGUUAUCAAGGGCCUACUGA
Molecule: ribosomal RNA, 303 nt
Filed under: Triticum aestivum (bread wheat)
Lineage: Eukaryota; Viridiplantae; Streptophyta; Magnoliopsida; Poales; Poaceae
Description: partial small subunit ribosomal RNA
Source: RNAcentral